AAAAAUUCUUUGCUAAGGCCAAAGUCAGGAAGGGUAUUUCCUAGGUUUUCUUCAAGAAUUUUUACAGUUUGAAGUCUUACAUGUAAAUCUUUAGUCUACCUUGAGCUAUUUUUGUGUAUGAUGAAACGUAAGGGUCCGGUUUUACUCUUCCGCAUAUGGCUAACCAGUUUUCCCAGCACCAUUUACUGAAUAGGGAGUCCUUUCCCCAUUGCCUAUUUUUGUCAGCCUUGUCAAAGAUUGUAUAGUUGUAGGUAUGAUGUGUAGCCCCCGAUGCU
Molecule: long non-coding RNA, 275 nt
Organism: Sapajus apella (tufted capuchin)
Lineage: Eukaryota; Metazoa; Chordata; Mammalia; Primates; Cebidae
Exons: 3
Source: RefSeq, a predicted model, not a curated record